GGCGGGAUAGCUCAGUUGGCUACAGCAUACGGUUCAUACCCGUAGUGUCGCUGGUUCGAAUCCAGUUCCCGCUACUA
This 77-nucleotide transfer RNA is filed under the name Sellimonas intestinalis. RNAcentral describes it as "tRNA-Met". It matches the Rfam family "tRNA". Rfam says of the family: Transfer RNA (tRNA) molecules are approximately 80 nucleotides in length. Their secondary structure includes four short double-helical elements and three loops (D, anti-codon, and T loops). Further hydrogen bonds mediate the characteristic L-shaped molecular structure. tRNAs have two regions of fundamental functional importance: the anti-codon, which is responsible for specific mRNA codon recognition, and the 3' end, to which the tRNAs corresponding amino acid is attached (by aminoacyl-tRNA synthetases). tRNAs cope with the degeneracy of the genetic code in two manners: having more than one tRNA (with a specific anti-codon) for a particular amino acid; and 'wobble' base-pairing, i.e. permitting non-standard base-pairing at the 3rd anti-codon position. Lineage: Bacteria; Bacillati; Bacillota; Clostridia; Lachnospirales; Lachnospiraceae. The record is from RNAcentral.